This 253-nucleotide ribosomal RNA is filed under the name uncultured bacterium. RNAcentral's name for it is "partial 16S ribosomal RNA". It matches the Rfam family "Bacterial small subunit ribosomal RNA", at positions 524 to 776 of the family's 1533-position model. The record is from RNAcentral.
UACGUAGGGAGCAAGCGUUGUCCGGAAUCAUUGGGCGUAAAGCGCGCGUAGGCGGCCCUGUAAGUCCGUUGUGAAAGUCAAAGGCUCAACCUUUGAAAGCCGAUGGAUACUGUGGAGCUAGAGUACGGAAGAGGCGAGUGGAAUUCCUGGUGUAGCGGUGGAAUGCGCAGAUAUCAGGAGGAACACCAAUAGCGAAGGCAGCUCGCUGGGACGUUACUGACACUAAGGCGCGAAAGCGUGGGGAGCGAACAGG